Long non-coding RNA from Centropristis striata (black sea bass), 1995 nucleotides. RefSeq lists it as uncharacterized. The record is from RefSeq and is a predicted model, not a curated record. The transcript has 2 exons. NCBI's taxonomy places the organism in Eukaryota, Metazoa, Chordata, Actinopteri, Perciformes, Serranidae.
AGCUUAGCCUAGUUUAGCUGAGGACAUUUUACAGCCAAAGGUCGUCUGUGAAGUUUUGACAUUUUGUUUGAAAAAGAUUAAUGAAAAAUAAAAAGUAGGUUCAUAAAAGAGAUUUAAAUACUGAUAGGUGCUGUCUGUCUCUCACCUGUCUGUCUCUCACCUGUCUGUCUCUCACCUGUCUGGCCCUCUCACCUGUUUGUCUCUCUGACCUGUCUAUCCCUCUCACCUGUCUGUCCCUCUCACCUGUCUGUCUCUCUCCUCACAUGUCUAUCCCUCUCACCUGUCUGUCUCUCCGACCUGUCUGUCCCUCUCACCUGUCUGUCCCUCUCCUCACAUGUCUAUCCCUCUCACCUGUCUGUCUCCGACCUGUCUGUCCCUCUCACCUGUCUGUCCCUCUCACCUGUCUGUCCCUCUCCUCACAUGUCUAUCCCUCUCACCUGUCUGUCUCUCCGACCUAUCUGUCCCUCUCACCUGUCUAUCUCUCACCUGUCUGUCUCUCCGACCUGUCUGUCCCUCUCACCUGUCUGUCCCUCUCCUCACAUGUCUAUCCCUCUGACCUAUCUGUCCCUCUCACCUGUCUGUCUCUCACCUGUCUGUUCCUCUCUUCACCUGUCUCUCUCUCUGACCUGUCUGUCUCUCACCUGUCUGUUCCUCUCCUCACCUGUCUGUCUCUGACCUGUCUCUCUCUCUGACCUGUCUGUCUCUCACCUGUCUGUCCCUCUCACCUGUUUGUCUCUCUGACCUGUCUCUCCCUCUGACCUGUCUGUCCCUCUCCUCACGUGUCUAUUCCUCUCACCUGUCUGUCUCUCACCUGUCUGUUCCUCUCCUCACCUGUCUGUCUCUGACCUGUCUCUCUCUCCGAUCUGUCUGUCCCUCUCACCUGUCUGUCCCUCUCCUCACAUGUCUAUCCCUCUCACCUGUCUGUCUCUCCGACCUGUCUGUCCCUCUCACCUGUCUGUUCCUCUCCUCACCUGUCUGUCUCUGACCUGUCUCUCUCUCUGACCUGUCUGUCCCUCUCACCUGUCUCUCUCUCUCACCUGUCUGUUCCUCUCUUCACCUGUCUCUCUCUCUGACCUGUCUGUCCCUCUCACCUGUCUCUCUCUCUCACCUGUCUGUUCCUCUCUUCACCUGUCUCUCUCUCUGACCUGUCUGUCCCUCUCACCUGUCUCUCUCUCUCACCUGUCUGUUCCUCUCUUCACCUGUCUCUCUCUCUGACCUGUCUGUCUCUCUGACCUGUCUGUUCCUCUCCUCACCUGUCUGUCUCAGACCUGUCUCUCUCUCACUCUGACCUGUCUGUCUCUCACCUGUCUGUUCCUCUCCUCACCUGUCUGUCUCUGACCUGGAGACAGACAGACUGACAGACAGACUGACAGACAGACAGACAGACAGGGAGACAGGAGGACAGACAGACAGACAGGAGGACAGACAGACAGACAGACAGAGGGACAGACAGGGAGACAGACAGACUGACAGACAGACAGACAGACAGACAGACAGACAGGGAGACAGACAGACUGACAGACAGACAGACAGGGAGACAGACAGACUGACAGACAGAGGGACAGACAGACAGGAGGACAGACAGACAGACAGACAGACAGACAGACAGACAGACAGAGGGACAGACAGACAGGGAGACAGACGGACAGACAGGGAGACAGACAGACAGACAGACAGACAGACAGACAGACAGGGAGACAGACAGGGAGACAGAUGGGUCCUUUAACUCUGAACGUGUUUCUUCCAUCAGAAGUUUUUUGAACUGUAGAAUUGUUAAAAUGAAUUUAUAAUAUUAAUGAAUUAUUGCAGAAUGUUCCUGUUAUUUUAUAAACACUGUGAAAUGUUUCACACAUUAACGUUCAUCAGCAUGAAGCAGAACAUCACCGUCCAAUCAGCUGAGGCCUCUCACCGUCCAAUCAGCUGAGGCCUCUCACCGUCCAAUCAGCUGUCAUGGCUCUGACUGCAUCAGUAAUAAUAAUAAAGCACAUGAAGUUC